Long non-coding RNA from Bufo gargarizans (Asiatic toad), 280 nucleotides. RefSeq lists it as uncharacterized. The record is from RefSeq and is a predicted model, not a curated record. NCBI's taxonomy places the organism in Eukaryota, Metazoa, Chordata, Amphibia, Anura, Bufonidae. The transcript has 3 exons.
AGGUAGUGCAAGUAACCGAUCCAGUACCCGGAGUACACUGAGCAUGAGCAGUGGCAUGGAAGGAGAUAAUGAGGAUAAUGAGGUUUCAGAACAUCCUCCACCAUACAAACCUAGGCAUUCCCUGCCAGAAGAAACACCUCCACCAAGACCACCCAGGAUACAAACCAGAAGCACGAGAAGAUCUCAAAGAACCUCUGGCUACAGUAAUGCCCCACCAGUGCCACCUAGAGGCCGAAAUGAGAAGUAGAGAUGACAGAGAGAAGAAUAUAUAUUUUUCUAA